Ctenopharyngodon idella (grass carp) is the source of this 2283-nucleotide long non-coding RNA. RefSeq lists it as uncharacterized. The transcript is spliced from 3 exons. The record is from RefSeq and is a predicted model, not a curated record. Lineage: Eukaryota; Metazoa; Chordata; Actinopteri; Cypriniformes; Xenocyprididae.
UCAGGUCACAUUUAGAUUGGCUGAAUUGUAGAGCUUUGUAAUCUGGGUAAAUGUAUUUAAGACCAUAGCAUAGUGUGCAGCAUUCUUUUAUCGGUCAGGUUAAUCAAGGAUCAAAAACACAUUUGUUGUUCAUUCAUUUGCUGUUUGGAAUUCUGAUUCAUUUCAGGAGGAUAAUUGGCUUGAAAGAAGAAAGAAGAACCUUGAAAGAAGGGAGACAAAUCUGAAAACCUGAUCAUUUUAGAAGACCUGAGUCAUAUCCUUGCAAUUUAAAAUUGAACAUGGCAUUGGCAGGAAAAGCAGCAGCAGGGGAAGAACCGAGGGGAACUGUACUAUCACCACUAACAUUAACAUUGACAGUUGUAACAGUUGUAGUAGUAGUAGUAGGUUAUGCAUUUAUGUUAACAGUAGCUGAAGUAGUAGUAGGAGCAGCAGCAGGAGCAGCAGCUGGAGUAUGCAUUUUACAAUUACUGUGGGAAGAAGAAGAAAGAAAAGGACCAGCAGCAGUAGUAGUAACAGCAGUAGCAGGAGGUGUAGCAGGAGCAGCAGCAGCAAAGUUGCGAUCAAUGGUAGGAGCAUACUCGCUAACCGGAUCAGCAAUAGUUGGAGCGAUAGCAGGAGCUGCAAUAGUAGCAAUAGCAAGAAAACUGUUACAAUGUGUUAUAAAUAAAAUACAGUGGUUAAAAGAUAACUUGAAGCCAUUGGUAGUACGCCUAAGAACCCAAGUGGAAAAAUAUAUAAAAAAGUUGGUAACAGAUAUAAUAAAGCGGGUACUAGCCAAUGAAGUCGCCAAAAUAAUACUGAACAAAUUAGCAUCAAUGGGAGGAUCAGGAUUAAUAGCAGCAGCAACAGCAUUAGGAUUAGCAGCAUCAGUAGCAGGAUUAGGGUUAUUUGGAGGAUUACUGGGACUCGCGUUAGUACUUGCAGUAGGAACAGCAAUUUUUAGAUCACAAGGACAAUCACAAGGACAAUCACAAUCAACAGAUGUGGUGUUUCCAAUUGCUCUUUUUUUGCUUUUUGUUUUAAUUUGUUUUCUUGUUUCCUCAGUGGGUGUGUUGCGAUUUUGCUGUUUGUUGUUUCUCUCUCUUUUCCUAUGGUUUCUGCUGCGCUACUGCUCUGACAGGAACUGAUCAUAUUCACCAAGAAGGCCAGCAUAAAAUCCAGCUGAUGCCUCAGAAAAAAAAGAAAAAGAAAAAGAUGACAGGGAUGCUUUUCUCCAUGUAAUCUCAGUCUUUAUGAUACUUUACAGUCUUUAGCCACUGCCUACAAUUCUCUGGAUCCUUCUCUGUAAACCGAAAAUAACUCAGUCCCACUAUACUUUUACUCUUUGAAUUCUUCUACCCGGGAACAAUACAAGUUGACGCCAUUGUGAAUAAAAGUUUACUAAGAAGUAUUUCCUUUCUUAUUCUUCUUUUAAGGAAUAUUGGUGGUUGGCAGUGAACUGGUGCAUUACCACCACCUUCUGGUAUGAAGUGUGGACCAGAAUGUCUGUAAUCUACAAUAUAUAAAACAACAUCAACAAAAAUUAUGUCCUAACCCUAAAUGAGACAUUAUUAUCUUUUUGACUCCUUUCACAGAAGAUCUGUUAAAUCAAAGUGUACUUUUAGUUCUCCCAAGUUUUGGGUCAAAUGUCUUUUUUCUCUUUCAUAUUUCCGACAAUAUAGCAUAACAUGUUCUAUACCAUGUCUUCCUGCCUACAGAAAUCGCAUUUCCCUGUGGUAUGUUUACCUAUUUUAAACAGUGAUCCAUUUAGUCCAGUGUGUCCAAACCUAAGUCUCAAUAUUACUAUCUUGUCCUAACUAUUCCUUCCUCAUACCUCAUUUCUUCCACUUUCCUUUGGAUCCUGUGAAACCAUUGCCCCUUUUUCGCUUCUUCCCUUUCCCACCUUUCCUUCGAUCUCUUUUUGAUAAUGCUCUUGACUUCUGCCCUGCUGAUGCUAACUAUCAAAUCAUUGUUACUACUUUUAGUGACUUCCUUUGCUACCUUAUCUGACAUUUCAUUUCCUUUGACCCCAAUGUGUACUGGUACCCACAAAAAUAAUACUGUAAGCCCCAUCAUUUGUAUUCUGUAUGUUUCUUGCAUCUCUAUCAAAAUGUUUGGUGUGUUUCUGAAUGCACUGUAAACUGAUUAAUGAAGAGCUUGAGCCUGAACAAUGAUUGCUUUUAGUGGUCUUAGAUCCUAUAAUAUAAUAGCAAUAUUGCAAACAUUUCUCCUGUGAAAACUGUUCAUCCCUCAGUGAUUUCUGAAAUAUGAAAUUCUGCAACAAUAAACGCUGAAUCACCUGAA